RNAcentral lists this ribosomal RNA (789 nucleotides) under Triticum aestivum (bread wheat). RNAcentral's name for it is "partial small subunit ribosomal RNA". The record is from RNAcentral. Lineage: Eukaryota; Viridiplantae; Streptophyta; Magnoliopsida; Poales; Poaceae.
AUGUUGCUCAAGCUACUAAAGACAAACCUGAUGCAAACUCGUUUGACGCAAGUGUUUACUUAUGAUGCAGUUAAGGAGAAGAAAACUUUUUUGAAGAGGAAGAUGUCAGAUCGAAAUCCUGAUGGCACACAGAGGCGUAGCCCGCGUGUGAAAGAUGGUUCCCAACCUGGUAAUAGCAAAGCUGAUGAGGAUAGUGUUGCUGUGAAGAUUGGUCCAAGCAAACUUGGUGGCACCCCUGUCCAUCAUAGUCCACGGGUUUUGACAAAUAAGAAGCCUUCUUCGCCUCCUCUUCCAGAGCGCUCUUUGUUGAAAGAAAAUAAUAAGCGUAAAGUUCAUCCUACGAAGGUGAACAAAGGUGUGAAGAAGCGUGCUUGUGUCGAAGCUGAAGAUGUUGUAUCUGAAGAAGAUGAUAUAGAAGUUGAUUCUGAAGAUGAAUUUGCAGUGCCUGUUAGCGUUAUGAGUCCGGUCAAGCCGGUGGGAGGCAAUGCCGGAAAAGUUGCCUUGGAUGAAGAUACGAUGACUCUUGACAUGGGCGAGGCUAAUAAGAAGCUUCGCAUCACUAGCGAUGGUAUACAACAAUUAUUUGGGUUCCCUCGUGGUGGUCGUUCUCCGCCAAGGCCGUCAGAGGAUGGAUAUGACGACGCUCUGAUGAAGUUAAGAUCGGAGCUUGACAUUAGCAGGAACAAAGAUAUCAAGACAAAGGAUUUGAGGAAUAAGCUCAAGGUGCUCGUCAAUGAUCCUAGCAAAGAUGACCUUGCUCUGAAAGUGUUCUUCAUUAUUGUGUUAUGA